GGAAGUAAAGUCGUAACAAGGUUUCCGUAGGUGAACCUGCGGAAGGAUCAUUAAUGAGUUGUCAUGGGGUUCGAUGCUGGCAGCCAGUUUUUGGAUGCAUGUGCUUGCCCUAACAAUCAUCUUCCAAACACCUGUGCACAUUUUUGAGGGAGUCUUGAGUUGGUUGCCGCUCUUGGGUGAUUUUCUCACAUUCCCUUAAAUCAUUAUACGCUAUUAACAAUGUUGAACGUGCUCUGUGCCGCAAGGCUAUUAAUACAAUACAACUUUUAACAACGGAUCUCUUGGCUCUC
This 290-nucleotide unclassified non-coding RNA is filed under the name plant metagenome. RNAcentral describes it as "partial contains small subunit ribosomal RNA, internal transcribed spacer 1, and 5.8S ribosomal RNA". The stretch from base 1 to 53 matches the Rfam family "Eukaryotic small subunit ribosomal RNA", at positions 1778 to 1831 of the family's 1831-position model. The record is from RNAcentral.